RNAcentral lists this ribosomal RNA (301 nucleotides) under uncultured bacterium. Its description in RNAcentral is "partial 16S ribosomal RNA". It matches the Rfam family "Bacterial small subunit ribosomal RNA", at positions 509 to 809 of the family's 1533-position model. The record is from RNAcentral.
CAGCAGCCGCGGUAAUACGUAGGCAGCGAGCGUUGUUCGGAAUUACUGGGCGUAAAGAGUGUGUAGGCGGUGCUAUAAGUUCGGUGUGGAAUCUCCCGGCUCAACUGGGAGGGUGCGCCGAAAACUGUAGUGCUCGAACGUGGGAGAGGAAAGCGGAAUUCCUGGUGUAGCGGUGAAAUGCGUAGAUAUCAGGAGGAACACCUGCGGUGUAGACGGCUUUCUGGACCAUUGUUGACGCUGAGACACGAAAGCGUGGGUAGCAAACAGGAUUAGAUACCCCUGUAGUCCCUGUCUCUUAUAA